This 492-nucleotide long non-coding RNA is filed under the name Sinocyclocheilus anshuiensis. Its description in RNAcentral is "lncRNA (ENSSANG00000047722.1)". Lineage: Eukaryota; Metazoa; Chordata; Actinopteri; Cypriniformes; Cyprinidae. The record is from RNAcentral.
AAAAAUCGGUCCAUUCCAGGUUAUCGACUGUGUCCAUUCGAAUCUAAAACACAGUCAACAGACUACGCAUGGACUGGGCCAGUGCUCAAAUCAGAUGGCAUCAGCAGCUGCAAACUCAGAUCUAUCCUUGCCCUUCCUGAGGCCUGGCUUUGAUUACUGGGCCCCCCACCACGAGCCAACACAUGGCCAUGAGCACAUACCAACUCAGUGCACAACCUCUGAGCAACCACUUGGAAACAAUCAAGAGCUUCAGCUCUGCAAGCUGAUUGGUGGAUGCAAGGACCAGAUGAUAGACCUCGGAACCCUAUUGUAACUAUGGCAACAGACCCCACAGGAAUGAGUGAUUUGCUCCUAAUUGCAAAGUAAACAUUAGAAAUGGAACUGGAUAUUAUCGCAAAGUGUGACGAACCUUGGGGUGGCGAUUACAGAAAUGCAAUAAGCUUUGAAAGGAAAACAAAGCUGAGUGCUGUCCGAUAUGCUGCCCAUUCUGAG